CAGAAGGCCAUCAGGGAAAGAGAAGACUUCCAUUCUUUCCAAACUCACACCUUGUUUCAAUUCGCUCUCCCUUUCUACACAAAAAUUCCCAUUUAAAUAUAGGCAAAUCUCAGGUGCGUGGAAAUCAAUCUGAUUAAAUAACUGUGGCUAAGAUAUACAUGGCUGUUAGAAUUGGGAGUUUUUCUCUUUUAAAGAAGGCUAUCUUUGGAGGCCGUCCUGGGGGAAGAGGCAUUUUGGAGUAAGGGGGGGCCUUUAUUUCAGUUCUCCAUGCUCACAUUCUAGCUGGCCCACUGGAGAAAGGCUGCCGGUUGCUGGGCUCCGAGUUGUUGACAUUCUCUGGGAGCAGAGCCCUGUGGACAGGAUCACCUACAACUGGCCUGGGCCAUUGUCCAGCUCCAGCAUGGUUGCACUCAUACCAGCUGGGCAGAGAGCAACAGGGCGCCCAGCAGCUGCUGUGAGACAGGCAGAGCUGAGGAGGCAGAAAGCCUGUGCUGGGAGUGAUGGGGCAGAACUGAACAGCUGGGAUCCAGCAAGACUGGCAGAUAGGCAGGCCUCCCUCCUCCUCGGAGGCUCCAGGGCCUCAGCCUUAGCCCAACAUCAGCCACAGUUAGCAGAGCAGAACUGGGCAAGAAAAUGAGAAACGAACAUUUAAAAAGGCAUUGUGCAUGCUGAAGACUUUUUGAAAAACUAUGUUUGGGGUCAUUCUUACCCUAGGCUCUUCUACCUUGGCCCCAGCAAGAACAUUCCCAUCAAAUGAGCCCGGCUUGGUCGUGAGUCAGGCUCAGCAUCUCCCCUCCUCAUCAAUUAUAGUCACUUUGUUUUCUCAGUAAUUUAGUUGUAGAUGGACAUGAAACCUCUUUUUAUUAUUAUUAUUUUGCUUAUUUAUAUGGUGCUGAGGAUUGAACCCAGUGUCCCACACAUGCGAGGCAAGCACUCUACCACUAAGCCACAACCUCAGCCCUCUA
This 965-nucleotide long non-coding RNA is filed under the name Marmota monax (woodchuck). Lineage: Eukaryota; Metazoa; Chordata; Mammalia; Rodentia; Sciuridae. The record is from RNAcentral.